This 2922-nucleotide ribosomal RNA is filed under the name Klebsiella pneumoniae. Its description in RNAcentral is "23S ribosomal RNA". It matches the Rfam family "Bacterial large subunit ribosomal RNA". The record is from RNAcentral. Lineage: Bacteria; Pseudomonadati; Pseudomonadota; Gammaproteobacteria; Enterobacterales; Enterobacteriaceae. RNAcentral also lists the same sequence under 2 other names.
GGGUUGUGAGGUUAAGCGACUAAGCGUACACGGUGGAUGCCCUGGCAGUCAGAGGCGAUGAAGGACGUGCUAAUCUGCGAAAAGCGUCGGUAAGGUGAUAUGAACCGUUACAGCCGGCGAUGUCCGAAUGGGGAAACCCAGUGCAAUUCGUUGCACUAUCGUUAACUGAAUACAUAGGUUAACGAGGCGAACCGGGGGAACUGAAACAUCUAAGUACCCCGAGGAAAAGAAAUCAACCGAGAUUCCCCCAGUAGCGGCGAGCGAACGGGGAGCAGCCCAGAGUCUGAAUCAGCUUGUGUGUUAGUGGAACGGUCUGGAAAGUCCGACGGUACAGGGUGAUAGUCCCGUACACCAAAAUGCACAGGUUGUGAACUCGAAGAGUAGGGCGGGACACGUGGUAUCCUGUCUGAAUAUGGGGGGACCAUCCUCCAAGGCUAAAUACUCCUGACUGACCGAUAGUGAACCAGUACCGUGAGGGAAAGGCGAAAAGAACCCCGGCGAGGGGAGUGAAAAAGAACCUGAAACCGUGUACGUACAAGCAGUGGGAGCACCUUCGGGUGUGACUGCGUACCUUUUGUAUAAUGGGUCAGCGACUUAUAUUCUGUAGCAAGGUUAACCGUAUAGGGGAGCCGCAGGGAAACCGAGUCUUAACUGGGCGUUAAGUUGCAGGGUAUAGACCCGAAACCCGGUGAUCUAGCCAUGGGCAGGUUGAAGGUUGGGUAACACUAACUGGAGGACCGAACCGACUAAUGUUGAAAAAUUAGCGGAUGACUUGUGGCUGGGGGUGAAAGGCCAAUCAAACCGGGAGAUAGCUGGUUCUCCCCGAAAGCUAUUUAGGUAGCGCCUCGUGAACUCAUCUUCGGGGGUAGAGCACUGUUUCGGCUAGGGGGUCAUCCCGACUUACCAACCCGAUGCAAACUACGAAUACCGAAGAAUGUUAUCACGGGAGACACACGGCGGGUGCUAACGUCCGUCGUGAAGAGGGAAACAACCCAGACCGCCAGCUAAGGUCCCAAAGUCAUGGUUAAGUGGGAAACGAUGUGGGAAGGCACAGACAGCCAGGAUGUUGGCUUAGAAGCAGCCAUCAUUUAAAGAAAGCGUAAUAGCUCACUGGUCGAGUCGGCCUGCGCGGAAGAUGUAACGGGGCUAAACCAUGCACCGAAGCUGCGGCAGCGACACUAUGUGUUGUUGGGUAGGGGAGCGUUCUGUAAGCCUGCGAAGGUGUGCUGUGAGGCAUGCUGGAGGUAUCAGAAGUGCGAAUGCUGACAUAAGUAACGAUAAAGCGGGUGAAAAGCCCGCUCGCCGGAAGACCAAGGGUUCCUGUCCAACGUUAAUCGGGGCAGGGUGAGUCGACCCCUAAGGCGAGGCCGAAAGGCGUAGUCGAUGGGAAACAGGUUAAUAUUCCUGUACUUGGUGUUACUGCGAAGGGGGGACGGAGAAGGCUAUGUUAGCCGGGCGACGGUUGUCCCGGUUUAAGCAUGUAGGCUGGUUAUCCAGGCAAAUCCGGAUAAUCAAGGCUGAGGUGUGAUGACGAGGCACUACGGUGCUGAAGUAACAAAUGCCCUGCUUCCAGGAAAAGCCUCUAAGCAUCAGGUAACAUCAAAUCGUACCCCAAACCGACACAGGUGGUCAGGUAGAGAAUACCAAGGCGCUUGAGAGAACUCGGGUGAAGGAACUAGGCAAAAUGGUGCCGUAACUUCGGGAGAAGGCACGCUGGUGUGUAGGUGAAGUCCCUGCGGAUGGAGCUGAGACCAGUCGAAGAUACCAGCUGGCUGCAACUGUUUAUUAAAAACACAGCACUGUGCAAACACGAAAGUGGACGUAUACGGUGUGACGCCUGCCCGGUGCCGGAAGGUUAAUUGAUGGGGUUAUCCGUAAGGAGAAGCUCUUGAUCGAAGCCCCGGUAAACGGCGGCCGUAACUAUAACGGUCCUAAGGUAGCGAAAUUCCUUGUCGGGUAAGUUCCGACCUGCACGAAUGGCGUAAUGAUGGCCAGGCUGUCUCCACCCGAGACUCAGUGAAAUUGAACUCGCUGUGAAGAUGCAGUGUACCCGCGGCAAGACGGAAAGACCCCGUGAACCUUUACUAUAGCUUGACACUGAACAUUGAGCCUUGAUGUGUAGGAUAGGUGGGAGGCUUUGAAGCGUGGACGCCAGUCUGCGUGGAGCCAACCUUGAAAUACCACCCUUUAAUGUUUGAUGUUCUAACGUUGGCCCCUGACCGGGGUUGCGGACAGUGUCUGGUGGGUAGUUUGACUGGGGCGGUCUCCUCCCAAAGCGUAACGGAGGAGCACGAAGGUUAGCUAAUCCUGGUCGGACAUCAGGAGGUUAGUGCAAUGGCAUAAGCUAGCUUGACUGCGAGCGUGACGGCGCGAGCAGGUGCGAAAGCAGGUCAUAGUGAUCCGGUGGUUCUGAAUGGAAGGGCCAUCGCUCAACGGAUAAAAGGUACUCCGGGGAUAACAGGCUGAUACCGCCCAAGAGUUCAUAUCGACGGCGGUGUUUGGCACCUCGAUGUCGGCUCAUCACAUCCUGGGGCUGAAGUAGGUCCCAAGGGUAUGGCUGUUCGCCAUUUAAAGUGGUACGCGAGCUGGGUUUAGAACGUCGUGAGACAGUUCGGUCCCUAUCUGCCGUGGGCGCUGGAGAAUUGAGGGGGCUGCUCCUAGUACGAGAGGACCGGAGUGGACGCAUCACUGGUGUUCGGGUUGUCAUGCCAAUGGCACUGCCCGGUAGCUAAAUGCGGAAGAGAUAAGUGCUGAAAGCAUCUAAGCACGAAACUUGCCCCGAGAUGAGUUCUCCCUGAGACUAUAAGUCUCCUGAAGGAACGUUAAAGACGAUGACGUUGAUAGGCCGGGUGUGUAAGCGCAGCGAUGCGUUGAGCUAACCGGUACUAAUGAACCGUGAGGCUUAACCUUACAACGCCGAAG